RNAcentral lists this long non-coding RNA (1250 nucleotides) under Junco hyemalis (dark-eyed junco). RNAcentral describes it as "lncRNA (ENSJHYG00000003323.1)". Lineage: Eukaryota; Metazoa; Chordata; Aves; Passeriformes; Passerellidae. The record is from RNAcentral.
GUGCUUUUAUUAAUUAUUUCAUUUCUAAAAUCAAUAAAAAUGUCCUCACCCCUGUGGGGGUGGAGUUUUGUGGGCACCUUUCCAUUACUGCCCCCAAAGGCCUUGAAGUAAAAUCCACUUUUAUUUGAAGUAAAAUCCAUUUUUAUUUGAAGUCAGGCCUAAAAUGAUCUCGAGUUUCAUUCCCAGGUUGGGAAAAGGGAACAACCCCAGAGCUCCAGAGCUUGGGGGGCUCUGUCCCAGCACCAGCCCCAAAAAAAUGACCCAGGAAGCCGAGUUGGAAAAGUUCUCCACGUUUUAAUGGGGUUUGUACAACCAAAAAUCCCAAAUUAGUGCAGAGGGGAGGCUCCACUCACAGCCAGGGCUCAGCUGAGACAGAAUUCCCAAUCCUGGGUACAGCAGAAUCCCAAAUCCACCCCUGGUCCAGCCCCUCGUCCCCCCCAGGCCACAAAUCCCAGAGCUCGUGGAGUGGGAAUGGGAUAAAACCCACAAAUGUCCAUUAAAGGGUUAAAUCCUGCUGGAGUUCUGGGAUAACAACGGGAAAAAUGAGAAUUAUGGUCAGGGAGUGCUGUGGGUUUGGGAAAGGGGGGGAGGAGGGAUCUGAUCCUGCCCCACAUUCAAGGGGAAUUUUCCUGCCAGGCUCUGAGCGUUGGCACCUUCACCCCUGGGCACCAGGGAAGGACCCAGAGCUGUGGGGAUGGAGAAACCCCAGCAGAUCCUAAACCUGAUCCUAAACCUGAUCCCAAACAUUGCCCAGAGCUGGUGGGGAUGGAUAAGGGAUGGAGAAACCCCAGCAGAUCCCAAACCUGAUCCCAAACCUUCCCCAGAGCAGGUGAGGAUGGAUGAACCCCAGCAGAUCCUAAAUCAGAUCCCAAACCUGAUCCUAAACAUCCCCUAGGGCUGGUGGGGAUGGAUAAACCCCAGCAGAUCCCAAACCAGAUCCCAAACCCUCCCCAGAGCGGGUGGGGAUGGAUCAGGGAUGGAUAAAACCUCCCCAGAUCCCAAACCAGAUCCCAAACAUUGCCCAGAGCUGGGCACUGCAGGGAUUUUUAUUUCAGAGAGAAUUCCCUGCCUGGAGCUGCGAGAACAGGGAAAUGCCAGUGGGCAGUGAGGGAUGGAUCCGUUUUAUUAUCCCAAAUAAAGCAGGGAUGGAGCCAGGAAUCCCAAAUAAAACAGGACUGGGGUGGAGCCAGGAAUCCCAAAUAAACCAAAAAUGAACUCAGGAAUCCCAAAUAAAGCAGGACUGGGAUGGA